RNAcentral lists this ribosomal RNA (524 nucleotides) under Bacillus thuringiensis serovar vazensis. RNAcentral's name for it is "bacterial LSU rRNA". It matches the Rfam family "Bacterial large subunit ribosomal RNA", at positions 1 to 514 of the family's 2925-position model. Lineage: Bacteria; Bacillati; Bacillota; Bacilli; Caryophanales; Bacillaceae. The record is from RNAcentral.
UUUGGUUAAGUUAGAAAGGGCGCACGGUGGAUGCCUUGACACUAGGAGUCGAUGAAGGACGGGACUAACGCCGAUAUGCUUCGGGGAGCUGUAAGUAAGCUUUGAUCCGAAGAUUUCCGAAUGGGGAAACCCACCAUACGUAAUGGUAUGGUAUCCUUAUCUGAAUACAUAGGAUAAGGAAGACAGACCCAGGGAACUGAAACAUCUAAGUACCUGGAGGAAGAGAAAGCAAAUGCGAUUUCCUGAGUAGCGGCGAGCGAAACGGAACAUAGCCCAAACCAAGAGGCUUGCCUCUUGGGGUUGUAGGACAUUCUAUACGGAGUUACAAAGGAACGAGGUAGACGAAGCGACCUGGAAAGGUCCGUCGUAGAGGGUAACAACCCCGUAGUCGAAACUUCGUUCUCUCUUGAAUGUAUCCUGAGUACGGCGGAACACGUGAAAUUCCGUCGGAAUCUGGGAGGACCAUCUCCCAAGGCUAAAUACUCCCUAGUGAUCGAUAGUGAACCAGUACCGUGAGGGAAAGG